UCUCCGUUGGUGAACCAGCGGGGGGAUCAUUACAGGACUCGCAAGACUCCUUCACCCUGUGAACCUCACUACAAGCACGUUGCUUCGGCGGGUGUCCCGGCGGGGGUUUUCCCUCGCCGGGGCGCACAGCCCGCCGGCAGCCUACUAUACUCUGUCUCUUUGCGUUGGCAUCUCGAGAAAAAACAAACAAGUUAAAACUUUCAACAACGGAUCCCUUGGUUCUG
This 224-nucleotide unclassified non-coding RNA is filed under the name plant metagenome. RNAcentral's name for it is "partial contains small subunit ribosomal RNA, internal transcribed spacer 1, and 5.8S ribosomal RNA". The record is from RNAcentral.